This 838-nucleotide ribosomal RNA is filed under the name uncultured bacterium. RNAcentral describes it as "bacterial SSU rRNA". It matches the Rfam family "Bacterial small subunit ribosomal RNA", at positions 66 to 898 of the family's 1533-position model. The record is from RNAcentral.
GCAGCACGGGAGCUCUGCUCCUGGUGGCGAGUGGCGAACGGGUGAGUAAUAUAUCGGAACGUAUCCAAUAAUGGGGGAUAACUAGUCGAAAGAUUAGCUAAUACCGCAUACGCCCUGAGGGGGAAAGCUGGGGAUCUUCGGACCUAGCGUUAAUGGAGCGGCCGAUAUCUGAUUAGCUAGUAGGUGAGGUAAAAGCUCACCUAGGCGACGAUCAGUAGCUGGUCUGAGAGGACGACCAGCCACACUGGAACUGAGACACGGUCCAGACUCCUACGGGAGGCAGCAGUGGGGAAUUUUGGACAAUGGGCGCAAGCCUGAUCCAGCCAUUCCGCGUGAGUGAAGAAGGCCUUCGGGUUGUAAAGCUCUUUCGCAAGGGAAGAAAACUUAACCUCUAACAUAGGUUGAGGCUGACGGUACCUUGAUAAGAAGCACCGGCUAACUACGUGCCAGCAGCCGCGGUAAUACGUAGGGUGCGAGCGUUAAUCGGAAUUACUGGGCGUAAAGCGUGCGCAGGCGGCCUGAUAAGUCAGAUGUGAAAUCCCCGAGCUCAACUUGGGAACUGCGUUUGAAACUAUCAAGCUAGAAUAUGUCAGAGGGGGGUAGAAUUCCACGUGUAGCAGUGAAAUGCGUAGAGAUGUGGAGGAAUACCAAUGGCGAAGGCAGCCCCCUGGGAUAAUAUUGACGCUCAUGCACGAAAGCGUGGGGAGCAAACAGGAUUAGAUACCCUGGUAGUCCACGCCCUAAACGAUGUCUACUAGUUGUUGGUGGAGUAAAAUCCAUGAGUAACGCAGCUAACGCGUGAAGUAGACCGCCUGGGGAGUACGGUCGCAAGAUUAAA